Long non-coding RNA from Pteropus alecto (black flying fox), 288 nucleotides. RefSeq lists it as uncharacterized. NCBI's taxonomy places the organism in Eukaryota, Metazoa, Chordata, Mammalia, Chiroptera, Pteropodidae. The transcript has 3 exons. The record is from RefSeq and is a predicted model, not a curated record.
GGAAAGGAUGCGGGAGUGGCCCAGCCCGCGGCAACUACUUGCAAUAUUAUUAAUAAAUAUAGCGAAAAUUAAUAUUGAAUGCUGACCAAGCCAGACGUUGUUUCAAGCUCCAUGCAGGAAUUAUUUCAUUUAAUCUUCAAAUCCCCUAGAUGCCCAUUUUACAGAACCCACGACCUUGGUGUUAUCAGCACCAUUAUAGGAUUCUUGAAUAGAGACAGGACCUGCUCAGUGGAUUCCUAUCCAAAGAUGCCCCCUCUCCUCUCUCAAUGAGAAGAGAUGAAAUACUGC